This 652-nucleotide unclassified non-coding RNA is filed under the name Hevea brasiliensis (rubber tree). Lineage: Eukaryota; Viridiplantae; Streptophyta; Magnoliopsida; Malpighiales; Euphorbiaceae. The record is from RNAcentral.
GAAUAUUACAGCCCUAUUUAUAUUUAUCUAAUCCUUAUAAACCCAGGAUUCUUAAUACGAAUAAGUUUUACAUAACUAUCCCAAUAGUAAAAACAACCAUCAGCAACCUCCUAUUAACCUCCUGCAAAUAGGAUUUGCAUUCUAACCUCACGAUGAAGCUCCCCCAGUGAAUUUCCUUCUAACUAAUAUGAGCUAUAAGUCAAGUAAUUCUCAAUAAUUUAACAUAACCUAGAGAAGUCAUGCACUGCAAUACAACACAUUAAAGCCAAAGCCUUAUAUGCAAUAUCAUAAGCACACAUGGAACCGCUCAACAUUUGUGGCUAGAGAAUCAUAUGAACAAUUUCCAAUUCCUAACACAAGGUACAAUUUCCAAUUCCUAACACUAGGACACAUGCAAGGAAUUAACUUUCAAAAACCCUUAACUGGAUAACUAAUACAGGGAGCAAAAGUUUAGCAAUCUCAAGUCAGUAAAACCAGAAAUUGGUAAAAGCUAACAAAAGCUAACAAAAGCUAACAAUUCCAAACAUAUAAUCAUCUAUCCAGAAUGUGAGAUUCAUUUCAAAUAUAACAUCUAUAAGCAGUUUAAAGAGAAAAUAUUUUAUGGUGGAAUGGCGUGAAGAAAGCAAUAAACCAUACUCUAUAAUGCUUUCCA